This is an RNA transcript of Macrosteles quadrilineatus (aster leafhopper), 1243 nucleotides long. RefSeq lists it as uncharacterized. The transcript has 2 exons. The record is from RefSeq and is a predicted model, not a curated record. NCBI's taxonomy places the organism in Eukaryota, Metazoa, Arthropoda, Insecta, Hemiptera, Cicadellidae.
AGAUGAUGAUUUAGCUUUCCUAUUGGAUACUAGUUGAAAUUCACUUGAUUCACCUUCUUGGUUUUUGUCUAGUUCCAUUGUGCUAACUUCUAAUUGGUGUGAUGAAUUUGUUUUUUUUUAACUUUAUUUAAUUUACAAUCUGUUAAAGUUGAACGAGGAAAAUUUUGUUUGGUGGUGCCAAUGAGUCGUCUAAAAUAUGAUGCUUACCAUUGUUGACUGUACUGAUAUUUUGACUUGUUGAUGCGUACCGGUAUCUAUGGUCUUCAUGAUAGGUUAGGAUCGGAGGUUUCAAGACAGAGUUCGUCCAGUUCAUUUAAUGUGUUAACUUAUAUGAAAUUUAUUGAAAGUCCGAAAGAAACACAAAAAAGUAACUAAAAAUAGAAAAGAAACACUUCAAAAGAAAAUCAAAAUUAUUUUAAAACGUAAAAAUAGGGAGAGCAAAAAAACAAUAACAAGCGUUAUUGACCGUAUCAUCAGCUGGAUCCAAAACUUUCUGGUCUAAAAAGCACUAAAAAAACUAGCUGAAUUUUCACUAAAAUAUGACAUCAGCUUUUCUCAGCUUCUCUUAUGAGCCACAUUAGGUAAUCUUAGCAUUAAGUUUAGCAGUUUGCGGCUGCUUAGCACAAUACCGUGCUCCAUAUCCAGCACCUUAUCCAGCGCCUGCCCCUGCACCUUAUCCAGUGCCUGCCCCUGCACCUUAUCCAGCGCCUGCUCCUGCACCUUACCCAAUACCUGCCCCCGCUCCCUAUCCAGCGCCUGCCCCAUACCCAGUGCCUGCUCCCUACCCUAAGCCCGUCCCCUACCCUGCACCAUCUCCCGGGCCAUACCCCCAACCAGUAUUUACCUCUUCAUCAUUUCAAGUAGCUCAAUCCUCAGUAAACCCUCCCCCAAUCUCUCCCCCCCUACCCUCAUCUUCAGCCUUUGCGUCGUCUGCAGCAGUCGCCCCACCAGGACCAGCAGAGUUCGUGCCUCCACCCCCUCCGAGCUUCAACCCUCUCAACCCCUCCAUAUCUGCCUCUGUGGAAACACCUCUUAGAAGUCUCGGACCUUCACCAGCUUCAUCAUAUGGACUGCCUAGCUUAUUUUAAUUGUAAGUUCAAAAUAGUGAGGCUGUACUAGUACAUUUGAAAUUUAUAGGUUGUUUACUUAAUAUACUUUGUAUCUAACAAAAAACCACUAAGUGGUAACACUUUCCCCGCCAAGUCAGCAAUCCAAAAAAGUUAAUAAAUCAUUACUUUUUCCG